This is a long non-coding RNA of Eriocheir sinensis (Chinese mitten crab), 866 nucleotides long. RefSeq lists it as uncharacterized. Lineage: Eukaryota; Metazoa; Arthropoda; Malacostraca; Decapoda; Varunidae. The record is from RefSeq and is a predicted model, not a curated record. The transcript is spliced from 4 exons.
CGUGGCAGGUGAGACAAUCACAUCACAACUUGGCAGCUGUGAUGAAACAUGUAUGAACUACGCAUCGCUUCGUAGAAUUAAUAUACAGCUUCCAAUGUGACUCCCAUUUUUAUAUAACAAUAGAAGGCUGACUCAAAGAAGGGGAAGUGGGGACGUGGAGAGUAGGCUCAAAUGGGAGGGAAAAAUAACGCGGCAGGAAGUGAGGGGGGGAAGGCAUAGACAGGGGAGGAGGAGCUGUCACAUAACACCGAGAAAGGAGGAGGAGGGGCGGGGGAAAAGGAUCUCCAUCGUUAUAUAAAGCAACUGGGAGUGUCGUUGUCACACUCCCAACCGAGACCCACUGCUACUGCUGCUGCUGCUGUCCGAAAGCACAAAUCUGUGAGCCAUGAGGGUGUUGAGCUUAGUCGGCGUGCUGAACCUUUUCACGCUGACGCUGAUACUGCUGACGAGAGGCACCGACGCUGAGCCUCAAGAGGGAGGAGGAGGAUUUUCUUUUGUCAUGAAGUUCUUUCGAUGCGUCGGCGAGGUGUUUACUGGCAACCGAGGAAGUACUACUGACGACGGCGAGGAGGACGCUGGUGAAGGAGGACUUGAGUUCCCCGAUGUCCCAUUCUUCCCCAAUGGAAGUCCUGGUGACGAAGGCACAGGCGAAUUCACCACCGCCGACUCUACCCUCGUUGAAGGGUCUAAAGGCAAUAAGACCAGACAGAGGUUUUUCUCCGGGAUCAGAACUCGCUACAGCUCCUGCAUGAACAAGGAUGGCAAAUGAAAAUUGGUCCUCAUGAGAAUGCUAUCGUUCGGAGAUGAUAUGAAGAAGAAGAAGAAGAAACAGUAAUAACACCAUCAAUAAAGCAUCGAACUCUGUC